GCGGCCGUGGCCGACUGGUUACGAUAUUCGCUUUGUAAGCGAAUGGUCCUGGGUUUGAUGCCCAUCUGCUCA
Molecule: transfer RNA, 72 nt
Filed under: Culex quinquefasciatus (southern house mosquito)
Lineage: Eukaryota; Metazoa; Arthropoda; Insecta; Diptera; Culicidae
Description: tRNA-Thr
Source: RNAcentral